CCUACGGGAGGCUGCAGUCGAGAAUCAUUCACAAUGGGGGAAACCCUGAUGGUGCGACGCCGCGUGGGGGAAUGAAGGUCUUCGGAUUGUAAACCCCUGUCAUGUGGGAGCAAAUUAAAAAGAUAGUACCACAAGAGGAAGAGACGGCUAACUCUGUGCCAGCAGCCGCGGUAAUACAGAGGUCUCAAGCGUUGUUCGGAAUCACUGGGCGUAAGGCGUGCGUAGGCUGUUUCGUAAGUCGUGUGUGAAAGGCGCGGGCUCAACCCGCGGACGGAACAUGAUACUGCGAGACUAGAGUAAUGGAGGUGGAACCGGAAUUCUCGGUGUAGCAGUGAAAUGCGUAGAUAUCGAGAGGAACACUCGUGGCGAAGGCGGGUUCCUGGACAUUAACUGACGCUGAGGCACGAAGGCCAGGGGAGCGAAAGGGAUUAGAUACCCCAGUAGUC
Molecule: ribosomal RNA, 446 nt
Filed under: uncultured bacterium
Lineage: Bacteria
Description: partial 16S ribosomal RNA
Rfam family: Bacterial small subunit ribosomal RNA
Source: RNAcentral